RNAcentral lists this ribosomal RNA (775 nucleotides) under uncultured Neocallimastigales. RNAcentral describes it as "partial large subunit ribosomal RNA". It matches the Rfam family "Eukaryotic large subunit ribosomal RNA", at positions 26 to 614 of the family's 3401-position model. The record is from RNAcentral. Lineage: Eukaryota; Fungi; Neocallimastigomycota; Neocallimastigomycetes; Neocallimastigales.
CGCAUCUGUGCAUGCAGCAUAUCAAUAAGCGGAGGAAAAGAAACUAACAAGGAUUCCCCUAGUAACGGCGAGUGAAGCGGGAAGAGCUCAAAUUUGAAAUCUUAAAGGGUUUCCCUUUACGAAUUGUAGUUUAAAGAAGUGUUUUCUGUUGAGGUUUUGGUAAAAGUUCUUUGGAAUAGGACAUCAUAGAGGGUGAGAAUCCCGUAUUUGACCUUUACUUUCAACUUUGUGAUACACUUUCAAAGAGUCGGAUUGUUUGGGAAUGCAGUCCAAAAUGGGUGGUAAAUUUCAUCUAAAGCUAAAUAUUGGCGAGAGACCGAUAGCGAACAAGUACCGUGAGGGAAAGAUGAAAGGAACUUUGAAAAGAGAGUUAGACAGUACGUGAAAUUGUCAAAAGGGAAGCGUUUGACACCAGUGUUGUUUUUCUGAAAAUCAAUUAAAGAACUGUUUAUGCUAAGUUGUUUAGACUUUAUCAGCUAACUGUUUAGUUUUGAGCUUUUCUUUAAUGCACUUUUCAGUUAACAAGUCAACAUCAAUUUCUUUUGCUGCUAAAAAAGCUUGAGGAAGGUGGCUUGAGAUUCGUCUUAAGUGUUUAUAGCCUCUUGCCUAUGCAGUCGGAGAGAUUGAGGUCUGCAGCGUAGAUCCUUCGGGGCUAAAUGCAUUUGUGCUAAGUUAUAACAUUUUAUAGACAACUUGUUGACUAUGAUUUGUCUUGUAGCUUACUCGCUUAUGUUAUUUUACCUACGCUUAGGAUGUUGAACGCGCACAGAGUCUC